AAAAAUUAGCUUGCUACUUAACUUAGCGGGCGGACGGGUGAGUAAUACUUAGGACUCCUGCCUAUUAGUGGGGGACAACAUUCCGAAAGGAAUGCUAAUACCGCAUACGUCCUACGGGAGAAAGCAGGGGAUCACUUGUGACCUUGCGAUAAUAGAUGAGCCUAAGUCGGACCAGCUAGUUGGUGGGGUAAAGGCCCACCAAGGAGACGAUCUGUAGCGGGUCUGAGAGGAUGAUCCGCCACACUGGGAUUGAGACACGGCCCAGACUCCUACGGGAGGCAGCAGUGGGGAAUAUUGGACAAUGGGGGGAACCCUGAUCCAGCCAUGCCGCGUGUGUGAAGAAGGCCUUUUGGUUGUAAAGCACUUUAAGCGAGGAGGAGGCUACUCUAGUUAAUACCUAGAGAUAGUGGACGUUACUCGCAGAAUAAGCACCGGCUAACUCUGUGCCAGCAGCCGCGGUAAUACAGAGGGUGCGAGCGUUAAUCGGAUUUACUGGGCGUAAAGCGUGCGUAGGUGGCCAAUUAAGUCAAAUGUGAAAUCCCCGAGCUUAACUUGGGAAUUGCAUUCGAUACUGGUUGGCUAGAGUAUGGGAGAGGAUGGUAGAAUUCCAGGUGUAGCGGUGAAAUGCGUAGAGAUCUGGAGGAAUACCGAUGGCGAAGGCAGCCAUCUGGCCUAAUACUGACACUGAGGUACGAAAGCAUGGGGAGCAAACAGGAUUAGAUACCCUGGUAGUCCAUGCCGUAAACGAUGUCUACUAGCCGUUGGGGUCUUUGAGACUUUAGUGGCGCAGCUAACGCGAUAAGUAGACCGCC
RNAcentral lists this ribosomal RNA (812 nucleotides) under uncultured Acinetobacter sp. Its description in RNAcentral is "bacterial SSU rRNA". It matches the Rfam family "Bacterial small subunit ribosomal RNA", at positions 70 to 873 of the family's 1533-position model. Lineage: Bacteria; Pseudomonadati; Pseudomonadota; Gammaproteobacteria; Moraxellales; Moraxellaceae. The record is from RNAcentral.